This 61-nucleotide transfer RNA is filed under the name Planorbella duryi. Its description in RNAcentral is "tRNA-Trp". RNAcentral also lists the same sequence under 1 other name. Lineage: Eukaryota; Metazoa; Mollusca; Gastropoda; Planorbidae. The record is from RNAcentral.
AAGAUAUUAGGUUAAGGGUAAACCUUUGACCUUCAAAGUCAAGAAUUUUUUUAAUAUCUUG